AAUAUUGCACAAUGGGGGAAGCCCUGAUGCAGCGACGCCGCGUGAGUGAAGAAGUAUUUCGGUAUGUAAAGCUCUAUCAGCAGGGAAGAAAAUGACUGUAACUGCCUAAGAAGCCCCGGCUAACUACGUUCCAGCAGCCGCGGUAAUACGUAGGGGGCAAGCGUUAUCCGGAUUUACUGGGUGUAAAGGGACAGUAGGUGGUGUGGUAAGUCAGGUGUGAAAGCCCGGGGCUCAACUCCGGGAUUGCACUUGAAACUAUCGGACUAGAGUGCAGGAGAGGUAAGUGGAAUUCCUAGUGUAGCGGUGAAAUGCGUAGAUAUUAGGAGGAACACCAGUGGCGAAGGCGGCUUACUGGACUGUAACUGACACUGAGGCUCGAAAGCGUGGGGAGCAAACAGG
Molecule: ribosomal RNA, 399 nt
Filed under: uncultured bacterium
Lineage: Bacteria
Description: partial 16S ribosomal RNA
Rfam family: Bacterial small subunit ribosomal RNA
Source: RNAcentral